UGGUAGUGUGGGGUUUCCCCAUGUGAGAGUAGGUCAUCGUCAAGA
Molecule: ribosomal RNA, 45 nt
Filed under: Pseudomonas fluorescens
Lineage: Bacteria; Pseudomonadati; Pseudomonadota; Gammaproteobacteria; Pseudomonadales; Pseudomonadaceae
Also listed under: 9 other names
Source: RNAcentral